RNAcentral lists this ribosomal RNA (677 nucleotides) under uncultured archaeon. RNAcentral describes it as "bacterial SSU rRNA". It matches the Rfam family "Archaeal small subunit ribosomal RNA", at positions 321 to 999 of the family's 1478-position model. The record is from RNAcentral.
CCCUACGGGGUGCAGCAGGCGAGAAAACUUUGCAAUGUGCGAAAGCACGACAAGGUUAAUCCGAGUGUUUUCUGCUAAAGAAAUCUUUUGUCAGUCCUAAAAACACUGAUGAAUAAGGGGUGGGCAAGUUCUGGUGUCAGCCGCCGCGGUAAAACCAGCACCUCAAGUGGUCAGGAGGAUUAUUGGGCCUAAAGCAUCCGUAGCCUGCUUUGUAAGUUUUCGGUUAAAUCCAUGUGCUCAACAUAUGGGCUGCCGGGAAUACUGCACAGCUAGGGAGUGGGAGAGGUAGACGGUACUCGGUAGGAAGGGGUAAAAUCCUUUGAUCUAUUGAUGACCACCUGUGGCGAAGGCGGUCUACCAGAACACGUCCGACGGUGAGGGAUGAAAGCUGGGGGAGCAAACCGGAUUAGAUACCCGGGUAGUCCCAGCUGUAAACUAUGCAAACUCAGUGAUGCGUUGGCUUGUAGCCAGUGCAGUGCCGCAGGGAAGCCGUUAAGUUUGCCGCCUGGGAAGUACGUACGCAAGUAUGAAACUUAAAGGAAUUGGCGGGGGAGCACCACAAGGGGUGAAGCCUGCGGUUCAAUUGGAGUCAACGCCAGAAGUCUUACCCGGAGAGACAGCAGAAUGAAGGUCAAGCUGAAGACUUUACCAGACAAGCUGAGAAGAAGUGCAUGGCC